CACGUAGGAGGCGAGCGUUGUCCGGAAUCAUUGGGCGUAAAGAGCGCGCAGGCGGCUUGGCAAGUCGGGCGUGAAAUCCCGGGGCUCAACCCCGGGACUGCAUUCGAUACUGUCAGGCUAGAGGUAGGUAGGGGAGAUCGGAAUUCCUGGUGUAGCGGUGAAAUGCGCAGAUAUCAGGAGGAACACCGGUGGCGAAGGCGGAUUUCUGGGCCUUACCUGACGCUCAGGCGCGAAAGCUAGGGGAGCGAACAGG
RNAcentral lists this ribosomal RNA (253 nucleotides) under uncultured bacterium. RNAcentral describes it as "partial 16S ribosomal RNA". It matches the Rfam family "Bacterial small subunit ribosomal RNA", at positions 524 to 776 of the family's 1533-position model. The record is from RNAcentral.